GACGAACGCUGGCGGCGUGCUUAACACAUGCAAGUCGAGCGGGGUCCAUCCGGUGGCAACACCGGGGAAGACCUAGCGGCGAACGGGUGAGUAACACGUGAGCAACCUGCCCCGAAGACUGGGAUAACACCGGGAAACCGGUGCUAAUACCGGAUGCCCUCACCGGGCCGCAUGACCUGGUGAGGAAAUGGCUGAGUCUUAUAGAUUCAGCUGCUUCGGGAGGGGCUCGCGGGCUAUCAGCUUGUUGGUGGGGUAACGGCCCACCAAGGCUACGACG
RNAcentral lists this ribosomal RNA (277 nucleotides) under uncultured bacterium. Its description in RNAcentral is "partial 16S ribosomal RNA". It matches the Rfam family "Bacterial small subunit ribosomal RNA", at positions 28 to 281 of the family's 1533-position model. The record is from RNAcentral.